GGAGAGAUGUCCGAGUGGUUUAAGGAGCACGCCUGGAAAGUGUGUAUACUACGAAAGUGGUAUCGAGGGUUCGAAUCCCUCUCUCUCCG
Molecule: transfer RNA, 89 nt
Filed under: Bacteroidota bacterium
Lineage: Bacteria; Pseudomonadati; Bacteroidota
Also listed under: 1 other name
Description: Bacteroidetes bacterium (mine drainage metagenome) tRNA-Ser
Rfam family: tRNA
About the family: Transfer RNA (tRNA) molecules are approximately 80 nucleotides in length. Their secondary structure includes four short double-helical elements and three loops (D, anti-codon, and T loops). Further hydrogen bonds mediate the characteristic L-shaped molecular structure. tRNAs have two regions of fundamental functional importance: the anti-codon, which is responsible for specific mRNA codon recognition, and the 3' end, to which the tRNAs corresponding amino acid is attached (by aminoacyl-tRNA synthetases). tRNAs cope with the degeneracy of the genetic code in two manners: having more than one tRNA (with a specific anti-codon) for a particular amino acid; and 'wobble' base-pairing, i.e. permitting non-standard base-pairing at the 3rd anti-codon position.
Source: RNAcentral